CCCGUCUAUACUCCAGCUGAUUUCAUCAUCUAAACCGGACUAAAUAUUAUAAGUUUACCCAUGUGAAAUUAUGUAUCAAGUAAUCAGGUAAACAAGUAUAGAAGUAGAACGAGAUGUAGAUGUAACUUGAUCUUCCCAAAACAAACAGUAAGCAAAAUGGGAAUGAUAGGUGUGGGGGUGGUAAGGCCAGGGCAACAAAGAUGGGAGCAAAGAAAAACUCCAGCCCCACGACCAUGGAUGCCGCUGCUACCACGGACCUAAGAAAACCAAAAGAAGAUGAAACACGAAUAAGGGUCUGAGAACUUAACUCCGAUCGGAUCCUCAGAAGCUGAGACGGGUGGAUAGGAUCAAGCAACACCUGCACCUGCAACAAUUUUCAGCGACAAAAGUAUCAACAUAUUGGAUUUUUAAAACAAAACCUGCACCUACACAAGUAUAUGUUAUAUUAACACAAGUGCAGAUCCUGUCCCACUCUUCACUUUGUUUACACAAAUGUUUAGAAUAACAAUCUUGGCGAGUGAUCUCAACCGGGUUUGAUCGGCAUGGCGCGUUGCUCAUUCUUCCAGUAGUGGGUGCUGAGAGGAAGGAUCCCGAACCUCCGCAACUUGUACCUAUCGAAGUGCCUUCCGCAACUUGUAGCUAUCGAAGUGAUAUAGCUCAUAACCAUGCAUGGAUGCCGCUGCUGCCACGGACCUAAGAAAACCAAAAGAAGAUGAAACACG
This 722-nucleotide long non-coding RNA is filed under the name Triticum aestivum (bread wheat). RNAcentral describes it as "long non-coding RNA (TAES_LNC021026)". The record is from RNAcentral. Lineage: Eukaryota; Viridiplantae; Streptophyta; Magnoliopsida; Poales; Poaceae.